This is a long non-coding RNA of Pezoporus flaviventris, 1203 nucleotides long. RefSeq lists it as uncharacterized. Lineage: Eukaryota; Metazoa; Chordata; Aves; Psittaciformes; Psittacidae. The transcript is spliced from 2 exons. The record is from RefSeq and is a predicted model, not a curated record.
CGCGUGUGUGCGGCUUGGUGCGGGGCUCACGGCGGAGCCGUUCCCAGACCUCUGCCCUAGCCUUGAAGCCGGGGCACAGGCAUCAGCUGUGUCUGAAGUUUAAACUCAUCCCUCUGUCCUCCCUCCACGAGCCAUCCCGAAUACAGGAUGAACCAGUAUGUCACAACAACAAGGUGGGUACAGCUUAUUACCCGAUUCUUCAGCCAUGGACACUGAGUCUGUGGGCAGAGAGCAACUGAGGAACACAAUUUCACUGCUGCACAGAUUGAGUCCCUAAAGUCAACCAUAAGCUGAUGUUAUUGUAAGCAUGAAACACAUUCCAUUAUAUACAAAAAUUCUUUGAGCUUCAGUUCAUUUUAAGGUAACUGAUUUUCCAAAAUUGAUGACUUCCUAUGCUGGUUUAGAGGAGUAGAAGUCAUGCAAAAUGUAACUGUACAAACCUUUUUCUCUGGGAAGGCCAGUAAGGACGAGAGAGGCAGGAAUUUUCUUGUCAGUAACUGGAUGCAGGAGCGAUGCGUCAUCACUUUGUAAAGAUGGCAUAUCACAGUCUAGCACUUGAUUGUAUAUUCCUAAUUUAACUGAACUUUUAUCUUCUCAGAGUCCAGCUACAAUCCAGACUAAAUUACCUUAUAAUGUUUUGAAAAGACAUGUGAAAAUGUAUCAUUUAUAGUGUGUGAAAACAGCCAUGAGUAAAAAGGAAAAAAUCUAUUGAGAAUUGAUUCAGGUACUUAUUUUAAGAGGGAAUAAAUUUUAAGUAUGUGUAUAUAAUAAUCUCAGAUGCAUCUAUGAAGUAAUUAAUUAGUAGGCAUUUUAUACCAUCUGACAGUGAUUGUAGCACUGUGAUUGGAUUGUUUCUAGACAGGAAAUAGAAAUCUUAUUAAUUGCCAAGCCUAAGGUGAAGUGCAGGUCUCAACAUAUUCUAAUGUUUUACCCCAACUACAUGAAAAAUACUUAUGCUGAUUUUUUUUUUCUGGUCCACUGCCACUCCAUCCUGAAACUAUGUUUUUCACCUUUCUUCAGUACAAGACACACAAACUGUUCUUUGAAGGAAAGGACAGUCACCUUUUGUAUAACCACCAGGACACACCAUUGCUGCCUGCAUUUCACCCAACCUCUACUCCAGCGUUAAUACCCAGUCAGUUAUUUCUCCAGCUGUUCCACAAAUGCCUUCUAUUUCCUUAAUAAAUGUGUUUCUGCACUGCA